AGAAAAUGACGGUACCUGACUAAGAAGCCCCGGCUAACUACGUGCCAGCAGCCGCGGUAAUACGUAGGGGGCAAGCGUUAUCCGGAUUUACUGGGUGUAAAGGGAGCGUAGACGGUUAAGCAAGUCUGAAGUGAAAGCCCGGGGCUCAACCCCGGUACUGCUUUGGAAACUGUUUGACUUGAGUGCAGGAGAGGUAAGUGGAAUUCCUAGUGUAGCGGUGAAAUGCGUAGAUAUUAGGAGGAACACCAGUGGCGAAGGCGGCUUACCGGACUGUAACUGACGUUGAGGCUCGAAAGCGUGGGGAGCAAACAGGAUUAGAUACCCUGGUAGUCCACGCCGUAAACGAUG
RNAcentral lists this ribosomal RNA (348 nucleotides) under uncultured bacterium. Its description in RNAcentral is "bacterial SSU rRNA". It matches the Rfam family "Bacterial small subunit ribosomal RNA", at positions 464 to 811 of the family's 1533-position model. The record is from RNAcentral.